This is a long non-coding RNA of Nicotiana attenuata, 2754 nucleotides long. RefSeq lists it as uncharacterized. Lineage: Eukaryota; Viridiplantae; Streptophyta; Magnoliopsida; Solanales; Solanaceae. The record is from RefSeq and is a predicted model, not a curated record. The transcript is spliced from 3 exons.
AGGUUGUUCUUGGAUCAAGUGGAAACGUUAGACAAGAAUCUUAGUAAAAAUGCUAUUUUCGUAUGCUUGUAAUAUGGCCAAAUUCUCUCAAUAAAGUCAAUGUGUUUUUUUACAAAUGAAUAUCUCCUCCCCAUUAUCAUUGUGUCUCUUUCUACUUAUAUGGAACAUAUUUCUAAGGCACGGAGAAUAUCCAUUAGAAUAUUCUCCUUCGUGUCCUAUCCUAAAACUAGUCGUUAUGACCCUGUCUAGGAUGAUCGACCUCGUCCUUGAUCCACGUCGUCUUCUCGACCUUGAUCCUUGCUGACUCUUCAACUGCAACCUUCAUUGCUUCUGGAACUACUUCGACCUUGGGCGGGUCUUUAUUGAAGUCGUAAUGAUAACACAUGGCAGCCUGUGAAUGCCUCUUUAGUGUUAACAUGGUUUGAUCAUAUUAGAGAUAAUUUUUGGCCCAUACAGUUAGUCCCUCCGUUUAUUGAGGUCGUUCUCGUAUGUGAGCUUUGAUGGUAGGCUAGAAUCACAUAUUUUAGUCAUAGUUUACACUCUAAUUACUGUAUUUUACUUGUGUUUGAGCUUAAAUGAUUGUGAAUUGCACGUAAUAUGUGUUUUAUGCAUUGCAUGAAAUGAUUCCGAGCUAUUAAGAUACUUUGGAGCUAAUUUGAACAGGUUAGAGCUUUGAAGUCUGAGUAAAACCCAAAGAAAUUAAGUCGGGAUCACGUUCGGAGGUCGAGCACCAAGUCUGGAUGUCAAAAAAUGAGAAAACAAAAUUACUCUGAGAAAAUUGUACUGCUGCACGCGCUAUGCGUAGCGGGGCGCUAGUGCAAAAUUCUUGCAGAGUGAAAAAAUCAACUCUCUGAAAAUCCUCACUAAUGUGGCGCAAUUUAAGAUAAUCGUCAAUAAGCAUUUUUCUUUUUAUUUUUUCAUUAGUUAACUUGCCUUCAAGAUUUUUUUUGUAGCAUCUGCAAGUUCUAGGGGUGAAAACUACAAGAAAAUAGUCUUGACAUUGAACUCUAAUUGUUGUGAAGAUGGAGUACAACCAGCCUAAGAAAAUGGUUGCAGAAUUAGCAGAUGAACAUUAUCACAAGUCUGCUAAUUGUUGUAAAUGUGGUGGAAAUCAUCUAUGGGUUGACUAUCAAGCAGGAAUAUGCAUGGAUUGAUCCUGUAAAAGAAUGCAGAAACAAGUUGAGAAUGAUCCUACAAGAACAAUCCACUACUCAAAAUGAGGCUAAGAAAGAAAGAAAAGAGCGGGGCUUGCAGAUAUCCUUAGAGGACUUUGGCCUAAUGAGCUCCAUUAAGAAUCCUAAGGAACGAAAACGAGGAAUGAAUUCAGAAUUAGGGGUGGAGUUCAUAAGUUCUCUGAAACGGAAACAAUUCAGGGGAGUUAUUUUUACCUCUUGCUUUUUACUUGUGUGUCAUAGGGAUAUGCCAAAUUUUAAAGUGUGGGGUGGGGAUGUAAAUAUGUAUAUGUGUGUUUGUUUUCGUUUCUUUUGAUUAUAAUAUUAAAUUAUUUUGGCUAGAUUCGAGAUGUUGAGAAGGUUGGGGUUUGGUUCAACAUAAGUGUGGGGUUUGAAUUGUUAAUGUAUAUGUAUUAAGUGCUUAUGGGGUGUAGUCACUAUAUCCAAAUUUAUCCUAUCCAUCCCGUAGCCUACAUUACAACCAAAUUAAGUCCUACUUGAUCUUUGACUAAAUGAGCUCGAAUUAGUAGAGUAUUACACUACGGACAAGCCUACGGUACGUCUUCUAUGGCAUAUGAAUCUUAAUUAUGAGAUUUAGUGAAUUUUGUCUAUCUUGAGUCUUAAUUGCUCUUGAAAUUUAUCGUGUGUGGAACUACUCUCUAUUGUUUGUGUCAGGGUACAUGAUUUGCGAAGGUAGGGUAAAAUCUUUACCUCUGUGUUAAAGUAGGUAAGCAGGUUGCGAAAAAUGCGUGGUGCUUUUGAGUCGAGUCUUGAGGCUAUGAUGUUAUGAUAUGGUGCUUAGUCUGCUUCAAAUAUUCUUGGCAUGAUACGUUAGGGAAGUUGUCUGAUAAAAAGGUUGUCUCUAUGUGAAGUGCAGUUUGAUUGCUCGAGGACGAGCAAUGGUUUAUGUGUGGAAUAUUGAUGGAAAUGAUUCUGAACUAUUAAGAUAAUUUGGAGCUAAUUUAAAUAAGUUGGAGCUUUGAAGUCAGAGUAAAAGCCCAAGAAAUUAGGUCGAUCGCGUUUGUUGGGUCGAGGACCUAGUCUGGAUGUCAAAUGAGAAAAAAAAUUACUCUGAGAAAAUUGCACUACCUUCCUGCGCCAUGCAUAGUGUGGAGCGGGGCGCUAGUGCAAAAUUCCUCCAUAGUGGAGAAAUCAAUUCUCUGAAAAUCUUCACUAAUGUGGCGCAUGGGGCAGCGCAUGGCGCGCUGCGCUAGUGUAUUUUUGCAGUCUAAUUGUCCCAAUUUGGCUUGGAAAAGGUACUUUUAUCCGGGACCGUUCCUACAUGGUAUAAAUAUACCAAAAACACGGAUUUGUAGAGGACUUUUGACAUGGGGGAGCUUUUGGAGAGCAUUGGAGGCUAGAAGACUCAGGAUUUCAUCAUUUUUCUAUCAAUUCAAUAUGGGAGUUUGGAUUGUAAUGUUAGAUUGAUGCUUUCUUAUUCUUUGACUCAUUUUGUGAUGACUUACUCCAUAAUUAUGGAGUAGUUUACCUUAGGGUUUGACAUGAUUUGGUGAUUUGGUUAUUGUUUAUGGAAUUGAUUAUUGUUUAAUUUCUUGAAUUUAUUGGAGGAGCUUUAACUCUA